Molecule: small RNA, 27 nt
Filed under: Bombyx mori (domestic silkworm)
Lineage: Eukaryota; Metazoa; Arthropoda; Insecta; Lepidoptera; Bombycidae
Description: ovarian small RNA-26574
Source: RNAcentral
UCCAAUAGUCCUCUAAACGGCUUUUGA